Biomphalaria pfeifferi is the source of this 335-nucleotide non-coding RNA. NCBI's taxonomy places the organism in Eukaryota, Metazoa, Mollusca, Gastropoda, Planorbidae. The record is from the annotation of a GenBank genome assembly.
UUUUGUUUGUACAAAUGUUGUAAUUGAUAUAUAAUAUAGAACUCAAAACUAUGACUGAGAUAUAGAUUCUGAGGAAAAAAACGAAUCAAAUCAUUACAAAAUAUGAUAAUUAUUAUACGAUUUGUGCAUCCUAAAUGUUCAAGAAUUAAAAAUGUGUAAAAAAUCCCGUGACGUAAAUGCAUUGUAGAGAUAAAUGUUUAAAACAAAGUGAAAAAUAAAUUAUGUAUAAAACAUAAAAUAUAAACAAAAAUGUUCAUUAAAACUGAAAGGCGAAAGUGUAAAGGAAGAAAUUAUUUUUUUAACAUUCAACCAUAGACAUAAAUAAAUAUAGACUG